Molecule: long non-coding RNA, 3408 nt
Filed under: Triticum aestivum (bread wheat)
Lineage: Eukaryota; Viridiplantae; Streptophyta; Magnoliopsida; Poales; Poaceae
Description: long non-coding RNA (TAES_LNC008452)
Source: RNAcentral
AUGAACCCGGAGAGCUGCAGCCGGUGGAUGCCGCGACGGACGGGGAGGCGAUGGCGAAGGGGAGUUUCGGUCAAGUGGAAUCUGAUGGGUUGCAGGGCGAGGAGCAGGGAGUAGCCUGGCGUAGAUACAGAAUAUCGGCCUCUCCCCACGACCCACCUCUCCCACAGAGCACAACUAGGUUUACCUCCGCCUCCCUUUUGAUUGCAAUUCCUUGUGUGAGCUCCUCCCUCUAAUUCAUGUCCUCCUAAUUCAUUUUUUUCAGUCAUCUAGGGUUUGGAUGGGUCUGGGUUCCUACAACGAUGGCAGUAGAGGCGACAAAGACCACUUUGCAACCUCGCCGAACUGUGUUACUGAACUGAAAGGUACUGUAGCAAUCCUUCUGGUUUGGUAGCUAAAACCAAGAUACUUAGCUUGUUAAUGCCUUCAUUUUUUUGUAGUAAAAACUAUAAUUCCAACAUCUGUAGAGUAUUAGAUUUUAGUUGUUUGUUGUAGUUUGUUUUCUGGGUUUUUGUAUCAAGCUAGAAUGAGCAAGGCUCGCUUCUGAUUGUUGUAUGCCAACCCAUGUUUUCUAUUUGUAGAUGGUUGUGUUUUUUCAGUUGGCCUACAUGUAAUAAUUAGUAAUUAAUGUCUGGAUUACUUUCGACCAAAUAUUUCGAAGGUUGCUUGUUCUUUUGUACGUAUCUAUGUUGGAUUAUCAAUGCAUGAUCUAAUUAUCGUUUUCUUCAUAUCGAUAUCCUAUUAAUUACUACUACAUCAAGGGACAUCUUCAUGUUGUUGGUUUUCUUACAAAUCCACUCGUUGCUUGUGGACAUGAUGGUUUAAUUUCUUUGAUAUUUUCUUCAGUUUAGGGACGGCAGUAGUUCUACCACUGAUGGUGUUGCAUGUAAGCUGGAUGUUCUCAUUGUUCUGUUGGCUCUGAUCGGGUGAGUUCUUCCCUAUUUCCUUUUUUGAUGCCUCCAUAUGCUCAACCUAUCAUGGUUUUAGUUGUAGUGUGAAUGUUUUACAGUUUAUAUAUAUAUUUCUGUGUUCUCUGGCAGUGUGGAUGCUAUGAAGUUAAGGUUCUUAAGAUGAAUGAUGUUUAUAGAGGGUAGAUACAGUUUUGUCAUUCAUUCAUGAUCAUAUUUGGCCUCUCUUAGUGGACAGUCUAUGGUAAAUCUAAUAGUUGGUCUUGAUAGUGAUGCAGGAUGUGAGGUACAACUAUCAAAGUGACAUUAAUUUUGGUUUUGCUUCCUAUCCGCAGCCUCUUCUACACUAGGUGAGAAACUGGUUACAAGAGUAAAUUUUAUUACUUUCCUAAAAAUAUCUUCCGAGAAACAUGAUUAUUAUGUUCAGUAGUGUUGCUUCGCUAUUCCAAAGGCACAUGGAAGUUUACAUAAAAAAAUCUUACAGUUGUUUUUUAUGGAUCUUCAGAAAAGGAAAACACUCGACGAUCUGGCUCUGUCUCAGGUAUAUGCUCCCUCGCCCGCAAGUUCCGCUCUCUCCCAUCUACGCAUCACGGCAACACUUCAGCUCCUCUUAUGGAUUCUCACCAGAUCAGGCCACCUCACUCACCUUCAAGUAAACCUUGAGCGACGACACAGUAUGUUUUCGCGAACUAAUCUUCUUUAGUCAACCUAUCGAUCCAUGUUGCGUGUGCUUCUUAAUCGACAUGUGAAUAAUCUGUUGAUGCAUGGAAAUACAUGCUGAUCUCCUAUUUUCUUGCUGCCUGCAAGAUAGUAUAUGCAUGAAUCUUGUUCAACUACAACAACCUGAAAGCCCUGUUAUUCUCAGAAAAAUUAUCAUCUAUGGUUGUAUACAUAUGCCUCUUGAUAUUUACCAGCUCUCCUUUAAGAUUUCCUAACUAGCAUACAUAUCCUAGCUAAAACAUAAGAGUUCGAAUUUGUACAUGUGAGCUGCACAUUAAGUUACUAUCACCAUUGUUUAACAACACUGUUAAUUAUGACUCAGGUUUGUAAACAGUCAUCCAUACCAUAGGUACGUACGUUAAUGCAGAAGCACUACUAUUGAAUUAGAUGUAGUAACUGCGUCAUUCUGAACAUUUUAGCAAGUUCAUGCAUUAACCGCUUAGGGUCCAUCGAUGAAACAAAACCAAUCAUAUGAAUUGAAGGAGCUACUGAAAUAAAAUGGAAAGAACAAAGAGAAAAUUGAAGGUUAUCUAUAUGAAAAUUCAGAGAAUGAGAUAGGAGAGGUGAUUCUUCCCAAUAGGAAAAAGAGUGGAGUAUAGUACUGUUAUCCUACCUUUUCUACUACAAUCCCAGUUAGCAUAAUAAUGUGACAUGGAAAAUCAUAUUAUUGAUUCAAUUAUGAUUCAAGCAACAUGAAAAAUUAUCCGUGAAAUUCACUUCUAAACCCUGGUUUUAUUUAGUUUUAACUUCAGGAUAGGCAUUUACUGUAUUGUAAUUGCCAAACUUCCAAAAUUCUACUAUUACCAUUGUUUAACAACACCCUUUUUGUCACGGGAAAAUAAUAGAUGGAUAAACGUCUCAAAUCAUACACUAUGAAGCUUCCAACACUUGCUUACAGUGUCUUUCUUGUGUAAUCAGUCUGUCGUGAUGGACAAAGUUAAGAUCCCAACAAAAAGUGCUUCUUGAUACUAUGAUGCAACAACUUAACCUUCCAAAUUGCAGUUUACUAAACAGAAAGUGCUUCUUGAUGCUAUGAUACAGCUUCUUGAUGCUAUGAUGCAGAAACUUUAUGCUAUGGGCAAGUGAUUCAUGCUGCUCUUGGUUCUUCUGUACACUUGAAAUAAGGAACAAUAUUCCAAAGUAUGAUAGUGUUUGGUUAAAACAUAUACCUUAGUCCAGUACUUCAGUUUCUUCUUCUGAAGUUAUGUUCUGGUUUUCUACUUCUUUGCUCUGCUUUACACAAUUUACAUGGCUUUCGAGUCCUUUUAUUUAGGACUAGGGAAAAACCUCUAAUUGUUAACUUUGUAUUUUCGCACUGACUAGCGCAUAUCUUGCCUAAGCGCAGGCUUAAGCAAUGCGUUUUGUUCUGCCCUAGCGCCUAGGUGCUUACACCCUUUCCCCCUACUGAUUUAAGAGGUGUGGAGAUAUUUUAAGGAGGUGUUGCUAGCUUUGUUGUUCAGAUCACAGAAGAAGUAUGUACAAGUAUACAUCAUCGCUGUUACUUGCUUGCAAUUAUAGUGUAUUUUAAAACACACACUUGGCGAACAUCUGCUCGUGCUUACAAUGCUCUAUGAGGGAAAUAAUAGAUCAACACUUGCUUUUUUGCUCCUUUCGAAGAGUUGUCAGGACCUCACCGGCAGAUCCCUCAGCUAUCAGGGAAAGCAGCCAUCAGCGGAGAUUGAGGGUGCCUCUCCGGCGAGAGUGCUCGUGUCGUGGUGGUUUCCCACCAGCGGCAUGGGGGAGGCGGUGUCCUCUACCGCUAGGUCUACUUGCUGGCGACCUC